RNAcentral lists this ribosomal RNA (422 nucleotides) under uncultured bacterium. RNAcentral describes it as "bacterial SSU rRNA". It matches the Rfam family "Bacterial small subunit ribosomal RNA", at positions 353 to 772 of the family's 1533-position model. The record is from RNAcentral.
AGUGAGGAAUAUUGGUCAAUGGACGUAAGUCUGAACCAGCCAUGCCGCGUGCAGGAAGACGGCCUUAUGGGUUGUAAACUGCUUUUAUAUAGGAAGAAACCUAGAUACGUGUAUCUAGCUGACGGUACUAUAAGAAUAAGGACCGGCUAACUCCGUGCCAGCAGCCGCGGUAAUACGGAGGGUCCAAGCGUUAUCCGGAUUCAUUGGGUUUAAAGGGUCCGUAGGCGGUUUAUUAAGUCAGUGGUGAAAUCGUGUGGCUCAACCAUGCAACUGCCAUUGAAACUGAUAAACUUGAAAUAGAUUGAAGUUGGCGGAAUAUAACAAGUAGCGGUGAAAUGCAUAGAUAUGUUAUAGAACACCAAUUGCGAAGGCAGCUGACUAAGUCUUAUUUGACGCUGAGGGACGAAAGCGUAGGUAGCGAA